This is a long non-coding RNA of Alnus glutinosa, 500 nucleotides long. RefSeq lists it as uncharacterized. NCBI's taxonomy places the organism in Eukaryota, Viridiplantae, Streptophyta, Magnoliopsida, Fagales, Betulaceae. The transcript is spliced from 4 exons. The record is from RefSeq and is a predicted model, not a curated record.
GGAAGAUCUAAGGGCUCAAUCUCAAAUCUGAUUUUGGAAACGUGAUCUACGCGUGUGGAUCUACGUUUUGACCGAUUAUUUUGAGGUGUUGGCUAUUUGGAAUUUUCUGGAGGCUACCCAAGCCUUGGGUAUUAGUUGGUGAACUUUGGCGGCACUUUGUGGGUCGAAUCUUGAGUUGUUGGAAUUUGGGAGUAUAAGCAGCUCAAGAUGGAGCUUCUUUGGCUACAGGUACACCCGACUUGGAGGAUGACCCCGUAGCUUUGUAUUUGGGAUACUAUGACUAGAGCAUGACGCGACAGUUGUAGUGCUAUGGACCGCGGGUUGUCCAUACUUUUGGGUAUUUUGUAUAUGGCUCGUGACAAAUGCGUCACUUAUUCUUUUGUGUAGCCAUCCUUUUGUAAUAGUUGUAAUGAUGUUAAGCCUUAAACAGUUAGACAUGUAAAUGGCUCUUUUGUGUAAACAAUAUGUUUAUAUUUAGAUAUGCUUUUCCGCUGAGUUAA